UAAAAGAAACCUAAUCAGAAAAAUAGAGACGACGGCUUGAGGAGCGAAAAAACCCUAAUAAUUCAGCGGCCAAAAACUGUUCAAUAACAAAAGGGAAAGGUCAGCAAGAGUUUUGAAAAAAAGCUUCACAAAAAGCCAUUAGCAUUGGCGAACUCAGAGAAAGAAGACGGUGGUACUACUGGUGGCCCUGUUUUCGAAAUCCACUCCCAAAGCUCGAAGAAUCAAGAAGUGUAGGAGAUCGUAUACCUGUUCAUUCGUCUCCAAAAUACCCCGAUCCGGUAGAUUUCUCGCUUCUUCUUGUUCUUUGGUAUCCGGCGCCAACCUCUGUUUUCUUUAGGGUUCGUGAUUAUGAUAAUAUUGUUGAACUUUAUUUCUUCUUGUUUUUGAGUGUUUGUAUUGUGUUAGGAGAGAUAGAUUUUUUUAUACUUUGAGGAUUAGGCUCUGAGUUGAGAUGAGGGAGGGUGAGUUAGAGAAGACGUUUCUCAUUCAGUUUCUGUUUUUUCCUUUCCUUUAGAGCGAAUCUCAGCAGGUCAAAGGUGACCGUCCUUUCCCACUUCCCAAAAGGUUUUAAAUGCUUUCUUCGUUUCCCCAAGAGCUUUAAUGGCUCU
RNAcentral lists this long non-coding RNA (608 nucleotides) under Lathyrus oleraceus (garden pea). Its description in RNAcentral is "Pisum sativum (pea) long non-coding RNA (PSAT_LNC003580)". Lineage: Eukaryota; Viridiplantae; Streptophyta; Magnoliopsida; Fabales; Fabaceae. The record is from RNAcentral.